GACGAACGCUGGCGGCGUGCUUAACACAUGCAAGUCGAACGGAAAGGCCCUGCUUUUGUGGGGUGCUCGAGUGGCGAACGGGUGAGUAACAAGUGAGUAACCUGCCCUUGACUUUGGGAUAACUUCAGGAAACUGGGGCUAAUACCGGAUAGGAGCUCCUGCUGCAUGGUGGGGGUUGGAAAGUUUCGGCGGUUGGGGAUGGACUCGCGGCUUAUCAGCUUGUUGGUGGGGUAGUGGCUUACCAAGGCUUUGACGGGUAGCCGGCCUGAGAGGGUGACCGGCCACAUUGGGACUGAGAUACGGCCCAGACUCCUACGGGAGGCAGCAGUGGGGAAUAUUGCACAAUGGGCGGAAGCCUGAUGCAGCAACGCCGCGUGCGGGAUGAUGGCCUUCGGGUUGUAAACCGCUUUCGCCUGUGACGAAGCGUGAGUGACGGUAAUGGGUAAAGAAGCACCGGCUAACUACGUG
RNAcentral lists this ribosomal RNA (468 nucleotides) under uncultured bacterium. Its description in RNAcentral is "partial 16S ribosomal RNA". It matches the Rfam family "Bacterial small subunit ribosomal RNA", at positions 28 to 507 of the family's 1533-position model. The record is from RNAcentral.